UUAAAGAUCAUGCUCCAAAAUAAUGAUGAAUAUGUGAUUCAUUCUAAAGAAAGAUUCUCUGGUUCUUCCUUCACUUCUCGGCCAAUCUCUUGUAAUGCCAAUUUUCUUUACACCGCUCCAAUUCCUCUUACAGGUACAGUUUUUGCAUAAUCGGACACGGCAUUUGACUGCUGUUAUUCGAUUUCCCUAUUUUGCUGCUGCUCCUGCUUCUUCUCGGAGGACCCACCCUGAUUUCUUCGUCGGAAUUUGAGCAAUUAGAGCUUGUUAUUAUUGAUGGCGGAUCUCAAAGAGCGCCUGCUUCCACCAAAACCUGCGUCUGCUAUAAAUCUAAGAGAUGC
RNAcentral lists this unclassified non-coding RNA (338 nucleotides) under Hevea brasiliensis (rubber tree). The record is from RNAcentral. Lineage: Eukaryota; Viridiplantae; Streptophyta; Magnoliopsida; Malpighiales; Euphorbiaceae.